Long non-coding RNA from Bombyx mori (domestic silkworm), 3922 nucleotides. RefSeq lists it as uncharacterized. The record is from RefSeq and is a predicted model, not a curated record. The transcript is spliced from 2 exons. Lineage: Eukaryota; Metazoa; Arthropoda; Insecta; Lepidoptera; Bombycidae.
UUCCGGGAGAAAUGUCACUGUGUUCCUCGAGAAUUCGUUACACUUCUCAAGCGUCAGUCGAAAAGAGACAUGUCUAUGUGGUUACGCCAGCAAAUCUUAUCUGAAGUGCCAAAAAUAACAGCAAACAUUCUUCAUCUGUUUAAUAAUCCAUGCGACCACAAAUAUACGAAGAAACGUAAAUCUCAAAUGCUUACUGAGAAGAUAAAAGGAAAAUAGGACCAAUUUUGCAUCCAGCGAGUGCCCCCACCACCGCGUACGUCGUGCAGAUAGACAGUGAUUAAAGCGGACGUACGUCAGAGCGGUCCUGCGUCGUGCGUGCUUGAUAUUGAAUAAAUAGACUUGCUGUACAGCAGAUUUAACACUUUCAAGAUUUAUUGAAUGAUAUAAGUUCCACUUAUUCUCUCCACGCUUGAUGCGCGCACGAUAGUCUGUAUGCUGCAUCCAGCACCGCGGCCUUGAGCUGACGUACAGCCGAGAUGGAUCGUGAAUAAAGCGCUUUAGUGUCGUCACACGCUCGCUGUAUUCAUUCCACUCGUCGUAGCCUAUUUUAGUUCAGUCGAACACGGCCACUCGGAUCGAUGACACGUACACAAUCAACCGAUUCAAUAAAACCACUGUGAUUUAAACGUUCCGCUUAUUUCUGUCUCAAUAACAUCAAAAUACACGUUCUAAAGGAAGACGAAUUGCAUGUUAUAAUGAAGCACAGAAAUCUUUUAAGAGUGAAGAUUAAGAUAUAGAAGAGAAGAAGUGAUGUACACGCAUCAAAAGACUAAGCCAGUUCUUAAGUUCGGGAGACAAACACUUUGUUCAAGGACUAUGUACUUACACAAUAUGGUCACGAAUGACUAACUACCACGAUGAAGAAAUAACAACGCGUAAUGAAAAUCAAACGUGAACUAAUUAAUUUAUGCGUAAUUAUUAAGCAAUUGAUAUAAAAGCCCAGACAUAACUUGACGAUGAAUGAAUAUAACCGUGUAAUAGAAUUAAAACCACAGAAGUCGUAGACGAAGAAAUCGUAAUUAUUUGUGGUUUGGCGUAUUGUACCUAAUCCCGUACGAGUAGUUACAAAAAUGCUGCUAAUUCGUGUGUAAAUUUAUUAUUGUAACUAAUAAUGUACACUGAAGUAAUGUUUCGGUGUGCGUAGCGUCAUUCAUGCUGUGAUUUCUAAGGAAUCAUUAACCUUUGAACAUUAAAAUUAACAGGUAAAGCGAACAAAAAAUCGAGAUAGCAAUUGGCGUUUUGAGGAAAUCUUAGUGCAUCCGCCUUUGCGUGCUGUGUCCUAGUUACGAUUAAGGAAAAAGAAAAAAAAUCUAAUUUACGAGAUAACCUUUUUAAUUUGCUUUUAAAAGCCUCUCCGGUGUUAGUCCUGUUUCAAAUUACAAUUUUUGUUCAAUUACAAGUUUUGUUUUUCAACGAUCUAAGUAUUAUCUAUAUGACACACGAUAUUGAUACAGUAUGAAUGGGUUGAUAAUAAUAAAUUAAAACUUUCCGUCAUGUAUUCGUUCACGUAUCUAUCAUGUGUAUUUAAUUAAAUUAAACUAACUAAAUGAAUAUUUAUGAAGUCUAUACUAAUAUUAUAAAGAGGAAAGAUUUGUUUGUUUGUUUGUUUCGAAUAGGCUCCGAAACUACUGGACCGAUUUGAAAAAUUAUUUUUCCAUUAGAAGCCGACAUUGUCCCUGAUGAACAUAGGCUAUUUUUUUUUAAUUUUAAUUUUUUUUUGUUUCAUGUUUGUUUUAAUGUUAAGGAAGCGAAGCGAGGGCGGGUCGCUAGUUAAUAAAUAAAAAGUUUCCGUGUAAUAAUGUUUACGAGCCAGUACAAGCGUACACACCUGGCAUGUGGCAACAAGCUUAAACGUUAAGUACCUAAUUAUUGUGAAUUUAAUGAAUCACCUGAUAAUAAAUGAUACGAAAUUAAAAACGGAAUAUUAAUGAACAGUUUUUUAACAUUCUCGAUUGGGUAAAAGUUAGCUCAUAUUUGUAUGAAAUGGGAUCGUUUGCCUACGUUUGCCGUUAGGGGCGCUGUUCCAACUGCAUCCAAAUUGGGUUAACUUUCACGCUAUUGAGAAUGUUAAAAAGCUCGCACUAAGCACACAGCUAGUGCCUACUGAGGUAGUUUUCCAAUUACAGAGCAUAAUGCGACUCAGUGACGCACAAUGCCGAAUUAUGCUGAAGCUUAAUUGGAACGUGAAUUAGUUUUCAAAUGCAUCAGCAGAGUGCGCUAAGUUAGCACAGUUUUAAUUAACAUUGAUUAUUUCUGAGAAACUACGACGAAACGAAAGCCUUACAAUUUUUUUCAACAUUAAAUAAUAUUACUAACGAUAAUAUAAACAAAAUUUCGAUUAAUGCCAACUUAAAGAAAAAACACUUGUCAAUUUUCUGUCACUGAGUCGGUAUCGAUUGCGAGUAUCACGCGAGAGCAGUACUUUUGAGAGUGCUCGAUUGUGCUUCGAGUUGCUGUAGUUGGAACAUUCAACGUUGAGCAUUAUGCCGCAUAAUGCGCUCUUGUGCUGUAAUUGGAAAACAACCUGAGUUACGUUUGCCAACGUAAAGGCAGUUUAGGAAGCCGACACAUCACUUCCUGUGAUUGUUGGUUUAAAAAAAAAACACUUUUUUUAGUCUGUGCUAGCGUUUAUUCAAUUCAAUGUUCACAAUACAAUGUACACUUAUAUACUACUUGUUUUUAUGAGGAACAUGACGUAUCUUAAAAGUUUGUUCGAGUGACUAGCAUUUUCGCGAGCUGAGGAGAAAUAAAAGAAGUCACCAGAGUCACCACACUUUUUUCUUUUUCUUGCUUGAUUUUUUUUACAGUGGACUUUUUGGAGGAAGCCGAGAAGUUACCUCCAGCGGCUUUGAUUCAUUUUCCCACAUUUGUGCACUUUUACAGAUAUUAAACAGUUAAUAAACCACUGUUAUUACACAUUUAAACCUGAAGAAACACUAAAUAGACAAAAUAAAACAAAUCACACAAGUUCACUCCUUGCGUUCCCGUCAAAAAGUCUUUUCUUGCAUGUUAACUGGAUGUGUCCACAGAUAUCAGUAACGUAAAUACCACCAUCUAACUUGAGGCAUGAAUUCUAUGUCUCAGUUUUCAGAGUACACCGGCUGCCCCGCCCUUCAAAUCGAAACGCAUUACUGCUUCACGGCAAAAAUAGGCAAGGUGAUGGUACCUUCUUGCGACUCACAAGACGGCCUCAGGACCCUCUAUUGUAAUGCUUCAUUUGAAACAUAAGUGAAUGAAGUAUCGCGACAUAUUAAGUGUAAUACUUUAAAGCUGUCAUUACUCGUAUAGCUUUACCACACAUUUUCAAUUUCGAUUAAGCUUUUUUUUUUGCCACAUACCAUCCGGCUAUGGAAUGAGCUCCCCUCCACGGUGUUUCCCGAGCGCUAUAACAUGUCCUUCUUCAAACGAGGCUUGUGGAAAUUAUUAAGCGGUAGGCAGCGGCUUGGCACUGCGCCUGGCAUUGCUGAAGUCCAUGGGCGACGGUAACCACUCACCAUCAGGUGGGACCUUCAAUAAUCAAGAAUGGUCCUUCCAGCAAGACUCGGCGCCAGGUCAUAAAGCUCGGUCUGCGCAGUCUUGGUUGGAAACGAACGUUUCGGACUUCAUCAGAGCUGAAGACUGGCCGUCGUCUAGUCCCGAUAUUAAUCCGCUGGAUUAUGAUUUAUGGUCAGUUUUAGAGAGUACGGCUUGCUCUAAACGCCAUGAUAAUUUGGAGUCCCUAAAACAAUCCGUACGAUUGGCAGUGAAAAAUUUUCCCAUGGAAAGAGUGCGUGCUUGUAUUGAUAACUGGCCUCAACGUUUAAAGGACUGUAUUACAGCCAAUGGAGACGACUUCGAAUAAGCUUUUUAUACUUUAAAUUGUUUUAUAUUUAUGUAUUAAACUAACACACUGUAAAAGUAAUAAAUGUUAUUGGCAAUAUAA